GACGAACGCUGGCGGCGUGCUUAACACAUGCAAGUCGUACGGUAAGGCCCUUUCUUGGUUGCACGCGUGACUAACGGACGAGUAACACGUAAGUAACCUGCCCACCACUUUCGGAUAGCGAUAGGAAACUGACUCGAAUACUUGAUAGGUGCGCCUGCUGCAUGGAUGGGGUUGGGAAGCUCCGGCGGUUGUGGGUGGACUCGCCGCCUUUCAGCCUGUUGGUGGGGUAGUGGCCUACCAAGGGGGCGACGGGUAGCCGGGCUGGGAGGGUGACCGGGCACCUUGGGACUGGGAUACGGGCCAGACUCCUACCGGGGGGAGGAGUGGGGAAUAUUGCACAAAGGGCGCCAGCCUGAUGCAGCAACGCCGCGGGCGGGAAGACGGGCUUCGGGUUGGAAAACGCUUUCAGCAGGGACGGAGCUUUUUGUGACGGUACCUGCAGAAGAAGCACCGGCUAACUACGUG
This 465-nucleotide ribosomal RNA is filed under the name uncultured bacterium. RNAcentral's name for it is "partial 16S ribosomal RNA". It matches the Rfam family "Bacterial small subunit ribosomal RNA", at positions 28 to 507 of the family's 1533-position model. The record is from RNAcentral.